Molecule: long non-coding RNA, 729 nt
Organism: Eurytemora carolleeae
Lineage: Eukaryota; Metazoa; Arthropoda; Copepoda; Calanoida; Temoridae
Exons: 2
Source: RefSeq, a predicted model, not a curated record
UUAAAAGUUUUAAAAUUGAAAUAUACAUGCAGCAUUUUUUACGAACACAAUUAUUGCAGUAUUCCAGCUUAAACAUCUAAUAUUGAAAACGCCUGGUCUUGAGCUUUUCAAAAUGUGGUCUACCAUUUUUGUUACUUCUAAAUUGACAGAGAUGUUGCGAAACUUGUACAAACUUCAAUUUAUUUAAUAAAUCAAAGUUGUCUAAAUAUCUAAUUUCUUCGUCAAUUUUUGAGAAAGGUAUAGACCACUUCAUGAAAAGUCCGUAGGACGUACAGUCUCGUUUUUAUACUUUCUUUGCCAUGCAUUAAAUAUCAGAGAACAAAGACGACUUUCAAGUCGCAUUUCAAAUCUCAACUCCCAAGUUUUUUUAAUUCAUAGCUAAAUUAGUAUAUAACAAAACUUAAAAUAAAAAAAACCUUUUAUUUUCUAUUUUAGAAUCGGAUAAGCAUAUUCAACAAACCGGCAAUAAACGAGGAAGAGCAGAGAAGAAAUCAAAUUAAGAAAGCAAAAUUUAAUUCAAAACUUUCGAAAUUUGAAAAAUUUAAUUCUGAUAACAAAGACGACCUUGUCAGGCGGAUAUCUGAUGUAAAGAUUAAAACUGAGAUGUUUGAGAAGGGGGAGGGAGGAGAGAAUGAAAAGAGGGAGAAGGAAGAAGCUGAAGAAAGGAAAAAAUCCUUUGAGAAAAUCAAGGGACAGUUCACCAAAAUUCAAGACGAAAAAGGGAAAGAG